Panicum virgatum (switchgrass) is the source of this 1648-nucleotide long non-coding RNA. RefSeq lists it as uncharacterized. Lineage: Eukaryota; Viridiplantae; Streptophyta; Magnoliopsida; Poales; Poaceae. The transcript is spliced from 3 exons. The record is from RefSeq and is a predicted model, not a curated record.
CUUCCCCAACGGGCGUCGCUCCCCCUCCGGGCGCCGCUCCACCUGACCGCUCCGUCAGUGGCCUGCGCGGGGCAGCUCCCUCCUAGGCGCAUUGCUAGGCUGGCUCCGCCAGUCGAGGGCGACGAUCCCCUCCACCUGGCCGGCUGGCCGUGCCGUCCGCCUGGCUGCUCCGGCGAGCGCCUAGGCCUCACAUCUCUGUCCGGGCGCGCGCAAGGUGUGGGCUGGCUCCGCCUGCCAUCUGCUCUGUCCUUGGGCGCUACUUGAAUAUAGCUCUCAUCUCUGCAGGCCACCUGUUCGACUAAAUGCAAGGCCACGCAAAGUGCCUCUUCUUUUGCAGCACGCGCAAGAAGACGAUUCAAACUUGAAAAACCAUGAUGGCUGUGUUUAGUUGCCCCAAAGUGCAAAAUCUAAAAAAAGAUUCUCCGUCACAUCAAACUUACGGUACAUAUAUGGAGUACUAAAUAUAGAUAAAAUCAAAAACUAAUUGUACAGUUUGGUUCUAAUUUGCGAGAUAAACGUUUUGAGCCUAAUUAGUCAAUGAUUGGACAAUAAUUAAUAAAUACAAACGAAAAUGCUACAGUAUACUACACUGUAUUUUGGCACUCCAAAAUGGAGAACUAAACACAGCCGAUGUCAAUUGCUCGUAGAGCUGCCCUGCCAUUCUACAGCACACACAGUCUUACCUGCCCUCUUACAUGGUGCAUCUAAACGACCUUUACCAUGCCCAGCCCACCCAGAUGAGGAACUCGACAUAGACUCCAGCCUGUGAGCCCCACAAUGCCCAGCGAAUCAACUAUCGCUGUGUUCGUUUGGCUGUGCCUGAUUGAUGGUGCUGAUUUAUUAUGAUAGAAUAACACUGUUGACUGGCUGGUGGCUGGUGCUGAUUUAGUAUGAAAGAAUAGUACUGCUGGUUGGUUGGCUGACAAGCCAAGCGAACACAGCGUAUGUCUCCUUCCCAUGCUCACAAUAAAAAUAAAAUUUCAGACUUACUGAUAUAUAAAACACCUAUGCCUUUGUCCAUUUCUAUUCUCUGUUGUCUUUGCAUCCUAACAUUGACCCUUCUCUGCUAAUUUUCCUUGAUGUAAUUAAUUGAUUUGUAAAAAAUGAAAUAAAAGAAAAUAAAUUUGUAGCUCCUCAAUCUACGGCUUCAGUGCACUUGGAUAAAUAAUAUAUUACAGUAUACUUGGAUUUCUUAUGUACAUCGGUUACAUAAUUUAUGUCAUUAUCAUCUGUAUUAGUAUAACAAUGCAAAUAGUAAUUAUAUAUUUUAAUAUGAACAAACAGGAGAGGAUCCAAAGCGGGAAGAUAGAAGUUUUGUAAAGACAAGAAGGGGCAAACCAUUUCACUAAAAGAAAAAAGGAUGACGAAGACUUGAAAGAAAAUCAAGACCUCCUUGGAUAAUCGAAGAGACAGAGAAUAUAAGCUAUUUGUUAACAGAGACAAACGACAACGUGAGAACAAUCUUUUGAACAGAAGUGCCUUCUAAUGGUGUUCUGUUAAAUAUAUAGUGCUCCAUUCUGAUGGUUCUAAUAAAUAGAACCAUCCUUUUGAAAUAUUUCAUACCUUUCUAUAUUGCAAGGCCCAAAUAUGUACUUUUGACUAGAUCCUACAGACUAUAAGAACUGUGAAACACAUAUGUAUAUUUUUA